This 85-nucleotide small RNA is filed under the name Paraburkholderia lycopersici. Its description in RNAcentral is "Burkholderia sp. TNe-862 Pseudomonas sRNA P9". It matches the Rfam family "Pseudomonas sRNA P9". Rfam says of the family: P9 appears to be conserved in several Pseudomonas species in addition to Bordetella spp. The record is from RNAcentral. Lineage: Bacteria; Pseudomonadati; Pseudomonadota; Betaproteobacteria; Burkholderiales; Burkholderiaceae.
CUGAUUAUUCGCACCAUUCAACGAAUGGUGGGUUAGCGUACGUCUUGCAACAGUGACAACAACCCGCCCCCAAGAGGCGGGUUUU